AUGUUUGACCUUAUCGGUGCGGUUCCUGCGGUGCCGGAUGACCCAACUAAAUACAGAGUCCCCGCUGGCGCAACUUAUGUUUGGAUCGUAGAACAUUUUAGCCAGUGCCCCGACGAUGCUAGUGAGGAAAUGGUCCAACAGUAUACACGUGCAUACUUGUGGUAUGUGAUCUCAAGGACUCUUUUUGCUGACGGUGGUGGCAGGACUGCUCCAUGGAUGUGGCUGAAGGCGUUAUCUAGUUGGGAUAGUAAACAGAGCUGGGGUUUAGCGGCACUGGCCUACUUGUACCGUCAGUUGGAUGAGGCGUGUUGUAGGCACAAAGAUGAUGCCAGCAUUGGUGGUCCGUUGGUCCUACUUUCGGUUUGGAUGAUGGAACACUUUUCAGUUGGACGGCCGAAAGUGAUCCGUUACGACGCUUGGGACGAUCAUGAUAACCCGCUACGGCAGCCUACAUGGGCGUACAAGUGGUACAAGGUUUCGGAGUUCAAUGGCAACCAAAAGAGAAUGUACAUAGACUACACCAAUGAGUUUGACGCGCUAACAGCCGAGGAGGAUACACCACCAGAGUGGAAGGACACGAAUAUCGUGCUUCACGGCUUGGACAAAAUGAAGGAGAAGAAGAUCAAGAACUGGUUGUCAUAUCAUGAAAAGUACAUCAAGAAGGGGAAUUACUUGGUGAAGGUGGCUAAUAAUAACAGACAAGUACAUCACCAAGUGCACGAUGAAGCUGCAUUUUACAAAUAUCUUCAAUGGUUUCUUAGCGAGUCUCGUGUGGAGUUAUGCCUGCCGGCUUAUGAUGAGAGAAUAUUGGAGGUGCCCACAUGUUUCGAAGAGGCUGCCAACCUCAACUACAACAGGCUCAUCAGAGAGGGCAUACAAACCGGAUUUGCUCCUAUGAUCAACUUUAUGCGCACUGAGAUCUCGCGCCAGGUUAGUGAAGCCGAUCAAGCACUCGCACAACCUCGGGGUGGGAAUCUGAGAAUGCCCUUAGAGAGUUUAUUAAGCGUAGCGCUACUCGGUUACGUUCCAUAG
Molecule: ribosomal RNA, 1032 nt
Filed under: Triticum aestivum (bread wheat)
Lineage: Eukaryota; Viridiplantae; Streptophyta; Magnoliopsida; Poales; Poaceae
Description: partial small subunit ribosomal RNA
Source: RNAcentral